CGGCCUUCGGGUUGUAAACUGCUGUUAUAAGGGAAGAAAAAAUCAUAGAGGAAAUGCUAUGAUCUUGACGGUACCUUGUCAGAAAGCAACGGCUAACUAUGUGCCAGCAGCCGCGGUAAUACAUAGGUUGCAAGCGUUAUCCGGAAUUAUUGGGCGUAAAGCGUCUGUAGGUUGUUUGUUAAGUCUGGGGUGAAAACUUGGGGCUCAACCCCAAAUUGCAUUGGAUACUGGCAAACUAGAGUUAUGUAGAGGUAAGCGGAAUUCCU
This 266-nucleotide ribosomal RNA is filed under the name Mycoplasmopsis pullorum. RNAcentral describes it as "Mycoplasma pullorum partial 16S ribosomal RNA". It matches the Rfam family "Bacterial small subunit ribosomal RNA", at positions 412 to 671 of the family's 1533-position model. The record is from RNAcentral. Lineage: Bacteria; Bacillati; Mycoplasmatota; Mycoplasmoidales; Metamycoplasmataceae.